CAGUCGCCGCGGUAAUACGGAGGGAGCUAGCGUUGUUCGGAAUUACUGGGCGUAAAGCGCGCGUAGGCGGCUUUGUAAGUUAGAGGUGAAAGCCUGGAGCUCAACUCCAGAAUUGCCUUUAAGACUGCAUCGCUUGAAUCCAGGAGAGGUGAGUGGAAUUCCGAGUGUAGAGGUGAAAUUCGUAGAUAUUCGGAAGAACACCAGUGGCGAAGGCGGCUCACUGGACUGGUAUUGACGCUGAGGUGCGAAAGCGUGGGGAGCAAACAGGAUUAGAUACCCCGGUAGUCCCUGUCUCUUAUAC
This 301-nucleotide ribosomal RNA is filed under the name uncultured bacterium. RNAcentral describes it as "partial 16S ribosomal RNA". It matches the Rfam family "Bacterial small subunit ribosomal RNA", at positions 509 to 807 of the family's 1533-position model. The record is from RNAcentral.